GGGAUCUUAGCUCAGUGGUAAGAGUGCCUGCCUAGCACGUAUGAAGCACUGGGUUUGAUCCCCAGCACAUUUUA
Molecule: transfer RNA, 74 nt
Filed under: Marmota monax (woodchuck)
Lineage: Eukaryota; Metazoa; Chordata; Mammalia; Rodentia; Sciuridae
Description: tRNA.Ala
Rfam family: tRNA (bases 8-65)
About the family: Transfer RNA (tRNA) molecules are approximately 80 nucleotides in length. Their secondary structure includes four short double-helical elements and three loops (D, anti-codon, and T loops).
Source: RNAcentral